Molecule: long non-coding RNA, 553 nt
Filed under: Felis catus (domestic cat)
Lineage: Eukaryota; Metazoa; Chordata; Mammalia; Carnivora; Felidae
Description: lncRNA (ENSFCAG00000051786.1)
Source: RNAcentral
AGUGGUCAUGGUUCCUCCUGUGACCAGUAAAAUUAUGAGAAUGAUAACUGACCUAUUAUUAUAUUUCAAAACUAUCUGAUAAUAUUUUGGGAAUGCAGAAUCAAUGGUUGGCUAACUCUCUUUAACCUCCUUUGAGUAGCUUAGUAAAUGACCGAUGCAGAAUAAGAAUGACCUCAUAAUCAUCUCAUUCCAUUCCCCGAACUUUCCCACUUCAGGCUUACCAGCCAUCAGGUAUCACGCGAGAAGCGGGCAGUCCAGAGCUGAAUGACACACAUGCUUAUUCUUUUCAGUAACCAACCUGCUAACGUUGCUUUUCUCCCCAAACUAUUCUUUCAAAGAUUGCCAGACACGAUCUAACACAUAAGAAGCCUCAGGAGAGCCAACAUGCUGUAAUUCCUAAGGAUCUAGGAGCACCAGAUGAUUGCAAACUAUGGGGAAGAUAUCCUAAAGAAAACAGGCCCUGUGAAGCUGUCAGUGAAGAAAUAACCCCUGAGGUCCCUGUAACUGCCAGUGGGUCCGAAUGCAAUUGCCAGACGACUUGAGACAUGGAAAG